This 252-nucleotide ribosomal RNA is filed under the name uncultured prokaryote. Its description in RNAcentral is "partial 16S rRNA". It matches the Rfam family "Archaeal small subunit ribosomal RNA", at positions 475 to 773 of the family's 1478-position model. The record is from RNAcentral.
ACCGGCGGCUCGAGUGGUGGCCACUAUUACUGGGCUUAAAGCGUUCGUAGCUGGCUUGUUAAGUCUCUGGGGAAAUCUUCCGGCUCAACCGGAAGGCGUCUCAGGGAUACUGGCAGGCUAGGGACCGGAAGAGGUGAGAGGUACUCCAGGGAGGGGGGUGAACCGGGACGGACCCGGGGGGAAGACCUGAGGGGGGGGGGAGCCAACCGGAUUAGAUCGCCUUGUAGUACGGUGACUUGCUAAAGCAAGGAG